CCCAUCUCAGGGUCGCACCUGGAGAGUUUCCACUCCUCUACCAGUCUCGACUACGGGAAGGAGAGUCAAGCAGAGGCAUAUCCAUUCCAUUCUUAGCUUGGGUGGUGGCCAGUGAGUGGAAGGCAGUCUGCUACAAGU
This 138-nucleotide small nucleolar RNA is filed under the name Ornithorhynchus anatinus (platypus). Lineage: Eukaryota; Metazoa; Chordata; Mammalia; Monotremata; Ornithorhynchidae. The record is from RNAcentral.